GAUGAACGCUGGCGGCGUGCCUAAUACAUGCAAGUCGAGCGAACAGACGAGGAGCUUGCUCCUCUGACGUUAGCGGCGGACGGGUGAGUAACACGUGGAUAACCUACCUAUAAGACUGGGAUAACUUCGGGAAACCGGAGCUAAUACCGGAUAAUAUAUUGAACCGCAUGGUUCAAUAGUGAAAGACGGUUUUGCUGUCACUUAUAGAUGGAUCCGCGCCGCAUUAGCUAGUUGGUAAGGUAACGGCUUACCAAGGCGACGAUGCGUAGCCGACCUGAGAGGGUGAUCGGCCACACUGGAACUGAGACACGGUCCAGACUCCUACGGGAGGCAGCAGUAGGGAAUCUUCCGCAAUGGGCGAAAGCCUGACGGAGCAACGCCGCGUGAGUGAUGAAGGUCUUCGGAUCGUAAAACUCUGUUAUUAGGGAAGAACAAAUGUGUAAGUAACGAUGCACGUCUUGACGGUACCUAAGCAGAAAGCCACGGCUAACUACGG
This 496-nucleotide ribosomal RNA is filed under the name uncultured bacterium. RNAcentral's name for it is "partial 16S ribosomal RNA". It matches the Rfam family "Bacterial small subunit ribosomal RNA", at positions 28 to 506 of the family's 1533-position model. The record is from RNAcentral.